CACGCCGUAAACGAUGGGUACUAGGUGUGGGAGGUAUCGACCCCUUCCGUGCCGCAGUAAACACAAUAAGUACCCCACCUGGGGAGUACGGUCGCAAGAUUAAAACUCAAAGGAAUUGACGGGGGCCCGCACAAGCAGCGGAGCAUGUGGUUUAAUUCGAAGCAACGCGAAGAACCUUACCUGGACUUGACAUCUCCUGAAUAGUGUAGAAAUACAUGAAGCCCUUCGGGGCAGGAAGACAGGUGG
This 246-nucleotide ribosomal RNA is filed under the name uncultured bacterium. RNAcentral describes it as "partial 16S ribosomal RNA". It matches the Rfam family "Bacterial small subunit ribosomal RNA", at positions 796 to 1041 of the family's 1533-position model. The record is from RNAcentral.